This 585-nucleotide ribosomal RNA is filed under the name Lodderomyces parapsilosis. Its description in RNAcentral is "Candida parapsilosis partial large subunit ribosomal RNA". It matches the Rfam family "Eukaryotic large subunit ribosomal RNA", at positions 55 to 656 of the family's 3401-position model. The record is from RNAcentral. Lineage: Eukaryota; Fungi; Ascomycota; Pichiomycetes; Serinales; Debaryomycetaceae.
GGAAAAGAAACCAACAGGGAUUGCCUUAGUAGCGGCGAGUGAAGCGGCAAAAGCUCAAAUUUGAAAUCUGGCACUUUCAGUGUCCGAGUUGUAAUUUGAAGAAGGUAUCUUUGGGUCUGGCUCUUGUCUAUGUUUCUUGGAACAGAACGUCACAGAGGGUGAGAAUCCCGUGCGAUGAGAUGUCCCAGACCUAUGUAAAGUUCCUUCGAAGAGUCGAGUUGUUUGGGAAUGCAGCUCUAAGUGGGUGGUAAAUUCCAUCUAAAGCUAAAUAUUGGCGAGAGACCGAUAGCGAACAAGUACAGUGAUGGAAAGAUGAAAAGAACUUUGAAAAGAGAGUGAAAAAGUACGUGAAAUUGUUGAAAGGGAAGGGCUUGAGAUCAGACUUGGUAUUUUGUAUGUUACUCUCUCGGGGGUGGCCUCUACAGUUUACCGGGCCAGCAUCAGUUUGAGCGGUAGGAUAAGUGCAAAGAAAUGUGGCACUGCUUCGGUAGUGUGUUAUAGUCUUUGUCGAUACUGCCAGCUUAGACUGAGGACUGCGGCUUCGGCCUAGGAUGUUGGCAUAAUGAUCUUAAGUCGCCCGUCUUG